AAAGGCGAUCUGCCGUGCCACAGUAGCAUAGCUUGUGAGAAGAUUCAUUUGUGGCAAGUUUCCAGCGAUAAUGACGAAGUUAAUUCUUGUGGUGUUUUUGGCUGUCCUGUCCAUAGCGGUCAUUGCAGCUGACGAUUGUCCCCCCAACUGUAGCCAGAGCCAGUGCACCUUCAUGGGAUGUCAGGACUGUGACGUGGGCUUCUGCGCCUACCAGGAGGGCAUAAAAUUCAAAUGCGUGAAAAAGUGCCCGGAUGGACAGUACUGCCAAAGUACCUACCGUAUGUGUGUCUAGGACGAGUGAGUCAGUCAACUGGGUGCUGGAAGCGAGCCAAGCUGAAGGAACAUCUGAACACUUCAUUGGGCUUCUGGCAUUGGUUAUUCCUUGUUAUAAGUAUUCAAUUAUUGAAUAAAAAUACUUUCAUAAA
Long non-coding RNA from Haliotis rubra (blacklip abalone), 425 nucleotides. RefSeq lists it as uncharacterized. The record is from RefSeq and is a predicted model, not a curated record. The transcript has 4 exons. NCBI's taxonomy places the organism in Eukaryota, Metazoa, Mollusca, Gastropoda, Lepetellida, Haliotidae.